ACAAUUGCUCCUUGUGAUGCUGCGGAACCCUGGCAAUUAGGAUCUCAAAAUGCAGCAACACCUAUUAUGCAAGGAAUCAUUUACUUACAUCAUGAUAUCUUUUUCUUCCUUAUUCUGAUUUUGGUUUUCGUAUCACGGAUCUUGGUUCGCGCCUUAUGGCAUUUCCACGAGCAAACUAAUCCUGUUCCGCAAAGGAUUGUUCAUGGAACUACUAUUGAGAUUAUUCGGACCAUAUUUCCAAGUAUCAUACCGAUGUUCAUUGCUAUACCAUCGUUUGCUCUAUUAUACUCAAUGGACGAGGUAGUUGUAGAUCCAGCCAUUACUAUUAAAGCUAUUGGACAUCAAUGGUAUUGGAGUGCGCCUCUUAACGAGGGUGAUUUAAGUGCUUAGAAAUGUACCGGUAGUUCGCGAAGCAUCUGGCUUACCAGUAAUCUCCCAUUCCCGGCGUCGAGAGACUAUAAGAACAAUAGCAUGCCAGAAACUGGGGAGUUUCAGUGGUUAGACCUAUACCCGGAAAUGCUCCCAGCAUAGGAGCCUAUGGUGCAAUUCCUUUUGUUGCUGGAGGUACACAUACCUCUUUUCUCGGUGUGGAAGUAAUAUACGAAAAAUAGAUGCUUAGGCAUGCAAUGUCCGAUAACAGCGCUGAAGUAGUUCAUCUAUCGGCACCACAGCACAGUGGCAUACAACUUUCUACCUAACGGCCGGCCCCGUCACCUUUCGGAAUGAGGGAUCCCCGUUGGCAACAACCACAGUAGUAGUAGCAGAACUACUGGGCCAAGACAAGAGAGCAAAACCGGUUCUUCCUUUUCCUCUUUCUUCGCUUCGGGGACGGAGGUCCUACAGUAGGUAACAGCAUGCACAAGCAACCGAAGGGGACCAGCGCUUCUACUACGGAACCGAGGAGCCGUUCGCAGCGAUAAGCAAGGGAUGUCGUGAACGGUUGGAAAAGGUCAAACAUAGAGAAUUCAACAAAGUGAUGUCGUAAACAGUAUAGUAGGGAGGUCAAAUAGAAUUUCCCUAAGCGAUUCGUGAACAGUAGGAGGUCAGUCAAACAUAGAGAAUUCCACUCAGCGAUGUCGUAAACAGUAUAGUAGGGAGGUUCAAUCUCAUUUACCUAUGAAUAGAGUCAUCCUAUUCUCUCUCAAUGGAUAUAAUUUCGAAUAUCUCUUUUGCUUAGUCAUCCUAUUCUCUCACUUUUGCUUAGUCAUCCUAUUCUCUCACAAUGGAGGAUCUAAUUUCGAAUAUCUCUUCUGUCCUAAAUUAGAUAAAGAUAUAAGGGUUACUCAAUCAAUUCAAUUACCCGCUGGCAUAAUGCAGGCUAGAAGUGGGAAUUCAAGGUCUCAUGAACGACUUUCUUUUAGUGGAAUCACUUUCUGGUCAGAGGCCUAUAGAUAGAUCCUUUUAGAUCUAAGGUCCGGCCAUUCACAUUCGCAUUGAGAAUCUAUACUCCUUACUGGAGAGGUUAGGAAUAACUCAGUAUCUUAUCUAUUGGGGCCUACAACUUAGCCGAGCCGACUAAGCAUCACUCUUUCUUUUCUUUUCGAACAAAGAAGACGAACUUCACUUACUAUAGGAUCGAAUUCGCUUUCCGGUAGUGAACAGGUCGUGUCGUCCCAUACCUUCUCUUCUGACUGUAAUAUUAGUGUUGAACUGAGUAGUGUUGAACUGAGUCCUUUUUGGUUCCAGCUUCACUUCAGUAGGUAGGGCUGGGCUCAAAAGGGUGGGUCUGCCUAUGAAUAAGUAAGCGGGCCUUCGAUUCCACCGGGGUCUUACGGUCUUUCUCUGAUAGGGGACUUAACUAACCAAAUAAUAAUAGUGCUUGCUUGCUCUCUUUAUAAGAGUAGGCAAAAUAAUAAUAAUAGUGCUUGCUGAGUUUAUAGGUUUUAGUAGGCUCAUCAUAGUGCUUGCUGAGUUUAUAGGUGUUCUAGUAGGCUAAAGAAGAAUAGUGCUCCGUAUCCGUUUAUAGGAGUAGGCGUGGAAAGCUUUUAGCAGGUAACCUUGCAAGUUCAGUUUGGGGGGAGGCGGGCGUCGACCCAAC
Molecule: long non-coding RNA, 2038 nt
Filed under: Musa acuminata (dwarf banana)
Lineage: Eukaryota; Viridiplantae; Streptophyta; Magnoliopsida; Zingiberales; Musaceae
Description: long non-coding RNA (MACU_LNC009018)
Source: RNAcentral